RNAcentral lists this ribosomal RNA (225 nucleotides) under Triticum aestivum (bread wheat). RNAcentral describes it as "partial small subunit ribosomal RNA". Lineage: Eukaryota; Viridiplantae; Streptophyta; Magnoliopsida; Poales; Poaceae. The record is from RNAcentral.
UUGGUUCUAUAGAAGAUUGGCAACAGUGCUUACAAGUUAUAGUUUCCAGAUCAUGUACAAAUGCAUCCAGUCUUUCAUGUGAGCCAGUUGAAGAAGCAUUUGGGUCACAAGUUUAUCCCUAGACCACAUCUUCCUAUGGUAAAUGAAGAUGGCGCCAUUAAAACUGACUCAACUCUAGUUUUGGAAGUCAGGAAAAUCCCUCGCAAGAAUGUGCCAGUUGUGUAG